This is a long non-coding RNA of Gymnodraco acuticeps, 307 nucleotides long. RefSeq lists it as uncharacterized. The transcript is spliced from 3 exons. The record is from RefSeq and is a predicted model, not a curated record. NCBI's taxonomy places the organism in Eukaryota, Metazoa, Chordata, Actinopteri, Perciformes, Bathydraconidae.
AGUCUCAGCCGAAGUGGUUCUGUAUCAGCAAAUACAAACUCUUUAAGCAUCCAUUUUUUAAACUCUGUAACUCAUGGUACCUCCUUUCUUUCCUGCAGCCUUGGACACUGCAGCUGUAUGCCAAGCUUUUCUUGGAAAGUGCGUUGGGAGGCUAAGAAAACUAUUUGUGUGUGUAAAGCAGCAAGGUCGAGGCAGUUGAGGCUGCAAGUGGAGCAGGCCUAACUAAUCCAUCAGCGAUAGCCCGCUCUGACAUCCAUUAUUAAUGGGCAGAGUGGGACCACAGGGAGGGGAUGAGAGACAUGAUGAC